AGAGAGAGACAUGCGCGCAUAUCAAUAAGCGGAGGAAAAGAAACUAACAAGGAUUCCCCUAGUAACGGCGAGUGAAGCGGGAAGAGCUCAAAUUUGAAAUCUUCAAGGUUUUACCUUGACGAAUUGUAGUUUAAAGAAGUGUUUUCUGUUGGAAUUUUGGUAAAGGUUCUUUGGAAAAAGACAUCAAAGAGGGUGAGAAUCCCGUAUUUGACCAUCAUUUCCAGCUUUGUGAUACACUUUCAAAGAGUCGGAUUGUUUGGGAAUGCAGUCCAAAAUGGGUGGUAAAUUUCAUCUAAAGCUAAAUAUUGGCGAGAGACCGAUAGCGAACAAGUACCGUGAGGGAAAGAUGAAAAGAACUUUGAAAAGAGAGUUAAACAGUACGUGAAAUUGUCAAAAGGGAAGCGUUUGACACCAGUGUUGUUUUCUCGAAAAUCAAUUAAAAAAGGCCGGAUUUUGUGUUGUAUUGACUUUAUCAGCUUUCUGCACUUUUUCUUGUCUUUUUUAAUGCACUUUUCGUUUAACAAGUCAACAUCAAUUUCUUUUGUUGUAAAAGGGUCAUUGGAAGGUGGCUUUCUUUUCGGAGAAAGUGUUUAUAGCCUUUUAUCUCUGCAGUCGGAGAGAUUGAGGUCUGCAGCGUAGAUCCUUCGGGGUUAGAUGCAUUUGUGCUAAGUUAUAGCCUUUCAUAGACAACUUGUUGACUAUGAUCAGUCAUGUAGCUUACUCGCUUAUGUCAUUUUACCUACGCUUAGGAUGUUGACAGCAGUAUAGACUGU
This 773-nucleotide ribosomal RNA is filed under the name uncultured Neocallimastigales. RNAcentral's name for it is "partial large subunit ribosomal RNA". It matches the Rfam family "Eukaryotic large subunit ribosomal RNA", at positions 23 to 633 of the family's 3401-position model. Lineage: Eukaryota; Fungi; Neocallimastigomycota; Neocallimastigomycetes; Neocallimastigales. The record is from RNAcentral.